This is a small nucleolar RNA of Heterocephalus glaber (naked mole-rat), 108 nucleotides long. NCBI's taxonomy places the organism in Eukaryota, Metazoa, Chordata, Mammalia, Rodentia, Bathyergidae. The record is from Ensembl.
AUUCUUUUGUACUGUAUUUCGUAAGUAUGAUGAGUGAGUUUUCAUACCACUGUGUGAGAUAUGCCUCCCUGAAAUCUUGUUAUGAUUUUGAACAUUACCUUCCUGACA